This 471-nucleotide ribosomal RNA is filed under the name Tenuibranchiurus glypticus. RNAcentral's name for it is "partial 16S ribosomal RNA". It matches the Rfam family "Archaeal large subunit ribosomal RNA", at positions 2009 to 2677 of the family's 2987-position model. Lineage: Eukaryota; Metazoa; Arthropoda; Malacostraca; Decapoda; Parastacidae. The record is from RNAcentral.
CGCGGUAUUUUGACCGUGCGAAGGUAGCAUAAUCAUUAGUCUUUUAAUUGAAGGCUUGUAUGAAGGGUUGGACGAGAAAUUAGCUGUCUUUGUAUGAAAGAUGGAACUUCACUUUUAAGUGAAAAGGCUUAAAUGUUCUAAAGGGACGAUAAGACCCUAUAAAGUUUGACGGUCUGGGUCUUAGAAGACAAGUUAGGUAAUUAGAGUUUGUUAGGAGCGGGGUGUUUUGUUGGGGCGAUAAGAAUAUAAAUGAUUUNNAACUGUUUNUAUGGUUAGAGACAAAGGUAGUUGGGUUUAUGAUCCUUGUUAAAGAUUAUUAGAAUAAAUUACUUUAGGGAUAACAGCGUAAUUUUUUUUGAGAGUUCUUAUCGACAAAGAAGUUUGCGACCUCGAUGUUGAAUUAAAAGUUCUUUGUGGCGUAGCAGUUAGGAGAGAAGGUCUGUUCGACCUUUAAAUUUUUACAUGAUUUGA